RNAcentral lists this long non-coding RNA (3213 nucleotides) under Gossypium raimondii (Peruvian cotton). RNAcentral describes it as "long non-coding RNA (GRAI_LNC009146)". The record is from RNAcentral. Lineage: Eukaryota; Viridiplantae; Streptophyta; Magnoliopsida; Malvales; Malvaceae.
CCAUUACCAUGCUAACGCAUAAACAAAUUAUUAAACUGGUCCAAUUUGGAAGCUGGCCCAUGAUAAACAUGAUUUGCUUGAGGCCCAAACUCAUAAGGAUGGCGAUAAUAUCCACGUACAGCCAACCGGCUAGCACCAGACCCAAAUUCAGCAGCGUAGGGCCCAUAUCUAUUUUGUUUACUUGCAGUCCCAAGAUGCACAUUAAACCCAGCUUGCCCAAAAUUAUCACUAGCAAACUGAUUAGAAACCCUACCAAAUUCGCGUCCCAUCUGAAGCGCCACACCGAAGUCACCAACUGCAUCUUUGUUAGGUGACAGCGAAUAACCAUUAGCACCACCAGACUGCCACCACUUAGCCACAGAAAUGGACCUUCAAAAUCGCGGUUGUAGCAAUAAAAAUAGUGUUGAGCUAUGUGCCCAAACCGACCGCAAAUUUGACACUGGAUUCGAGAGCGGAACCCACGAUCGCGCCCACCAUGUAAAUGACCACCUCGAGCUGAGUCUACCACCACCGGCGACGGUAUAGAUUCGUAAGGUUAGCCUGAAUUGAAACUUCUUGAAUCAUCCGCGACUGCCGAUUUUCAUACUCUAGAAGCACGUUCACAAGACAUUGAAGAGGCAACGGUUUAGCCAGAAAUGACACCAAAGUAACCACCGUAUCAAAUUCCGGUGAAAGACUUGCCAAAAUAAUUUUGACUUUUUCUGGCUUUGACACCCGUGAGCUCGAGGCAUCCAGCAAAGCAUAAUUAUUUUGAAUUCGUGCUACAUAUUCAGUAAUCGAAAGAUUACAUUUCUUGAGAGAGUGUAACUUGUGACGAACUCGGGAAAGUUUGGCAUCGGUAGCUGCCGCGAACAAACGGGUAGCCAUAGUCCAAACAUCACACACUAUUCAGGCAUCAGUGAACGAGGAGAGCGCAACCAGGAAGCGAGGAGACGAUCUUGUUGAGUGUAGACCGACGCUCGUGGAUUCGGAACCAAGGAACCAUCUAUUGAUGGCACAAACCGUGGCGGAGAAGGUAAUGUCCCAUCCAAAAAACCUAUUAAUUCAUAUCCUUCUACAAUCAAUCUAAUGUGUUGCUUCCACUGAACAAAACUGUUAUUAUCCAACUUGAUUGUGUCAUGACAAGGAAAUGUAUGAACGAUUCAGUCUCCAGUAAACGCUACGCAAGCAGGCUCGACUGAAGCAGACUUAGGCUUAAUUUGGAUGGGCGGUGUGUUUAGCUCCGGUGAGGUUAAAAACAGUGGUGGCGGUGAGAUUAGUUACUGUAGCGGUGAGAUUGGGUACUGUAGCAGUGAGAUUAGAAACAGCGGUAGAGUGUGUGUUUAGAUUCAAACGCAACUGUAGCGGUGAGGUGAAAAUAGAAAAUGACUUUUAAGGACAUUAGAUUAAAAAUGAUAUAUAAUAGAAGUUUUUUAAAAUUAUUUAAGAAUUACAAAAUUAAUAAAUGAUAAAAAAUUAUUACAAUUAUAUUUAUUUUCAAUAAUAAAUAAUUAAAAAUGAAUUAAAACUAGAGAAAAAAUCAAAAAAUUAUUUUAUUUAAUAUUUCAAAAUUAAUCAUAUCUUUAAUUAUAGGAGAAAAACGAAUUACAUGUAGUCCGGAUUACAUGUGUUGGUUUUUUUAGCAGAAAACUAAGGAGAAAAAGAAAAACGAAUGCAAAGAAGUUUGAACAAGAAGAAAACUGAAUUUGAUUUCAAAAAAUUAGAUCUUUUUCGUUGACUUGAGAAGCAUUUAUGUUACAAUGAAAUAUGGCAGUUAACUAAUGUAUAACUACUCCCAAAGCCUAGAUAGAAUUACAAACAAAAUGUAGCUGACAUACCAGCUAUAACAUCAAACAUAAAUCGACAACUACUCCUACUAACUUUAAGUAUAAAUUACAUUGCAACUAAAUCAAGUUACAAAUGAACAAAAUAAACAAAAUGCUGCUGCUUAUCUGGUUCAGCUAGGAUGCUGGUCUGCAUGCUGGUUUACUGCUGGUUUCCUGUUACAACAAAUUAAGUAAUGCAUCAAAUUAAUGUUGGUAUUCAAGCAACAAAUUAAGUAACGCAUCAAAGUAUCAUUACACCAUAGCUACUUAAAUAUAUGAAGAAUACUCUCAACUUCCUAGUCUUGAAAGCUGAGAAGAUAGCAAUAGAGAUGCCAUGAACACUUCCAAAUCAUAAUUAUGCAUUAUAAAGUCUUAGCAACUAGCAUGCAUCAUAUACAGGCUAAUGUCAUUGAUAUGUAAGUAGCAGAUUUAUAUCAAACCAUUGAAAACACAAGCGUGAUAGCAGAAAUGGAGUCCUUGCUGAAAGUAACUGCCAGACUACAGAUACAACUGCAAUUUCCCUUCCUUUAUACCGAUUUAUCAGAUACCAGUGAUCAUUACUUUAUCUUGUUGGAUCAUUUAAGCUCUUCAGCUACUGAUACAGCAUAAGAGGAAGUCCAGCAGCUGGAGCUGCUUCAAAUAGACUCACAUACUAAUAAUAUGUAUAUAUCUAUCCUUCUUGUUAUAUAACAACUAACAGGCUCCCGAUUCAGGGAUAGCCUAUCUCUGCUUGAUGAAUCAGCAAUCCAAAUGAAAAACAAAGUUUAAAAAUACCUGCAAAUCCAAAAUGUUAUAAGCAUUCCCAGACUCAUCAAAUUCGCAUGGUAAGUUUGGAGCAUAUCUCCUUAGCUCAUCUACAAUGAAUUGGUAGUGGUAAACACCAAAUGGGAGCAUCUUCAUGAUAAUGAAAUCUUUACCCAAAGAGUGCAAGGGUUCUCUGAAAGGAGAAGAAAUAAAAGUUACUGCAACUUAGAUUGUGAAAAGAAAACUGCUCAAGCUAAAGAAUGGAACUUCAAACAUAGACACCAUAAUAGAGAUUCCAGUACAUGGUCUUCCAAUUGUCCCAUGAUCCAGUAAUAACUACUCGCUUGCCACCAAAACACCAUGUUAUCAUCACUGCUCUCUUCUGCUCUUGGUGGAAAUCCUUGUAGCGCGUAGACUUUUGUACCGGUGGAUGAUUUCGGAUUUGCAUCAUUUGACCAGGUCUGAGCAAGGGAGCCUCAGAGAUCUGGAGAAAGAAUUACAACUCGAUUGGAUUUUCCAUUACAUGUAUCUCUAUCAACGUGUGUCCUUAGAUAUGCCAAAUCAUGUGGUAGAUAAUAGAAAGCCUUCAUAAACAAGCUUUUUUUUUUGUUUUCUUUUUUACGAAUGUUGUACAAAUUUUCAAGCAAUUUCAUUUCCUUUUAGC